This 26-nucleotide non-coding RNA is filed under the name Mus musculus (house mouse). Lineage: Eukaryota; Metazoa; Chordata; Mammalia; Rodentia; Muridae. The record is from RNAcentral.
UCUAGCUCGUGCUCUACACUGGGACC